CACGUGGGGAACCUGCCCCAUAGUCUGGGAUACCACUUGGAAACAGGUGCUAAUACCGGAUAAGAAAGCAGAUCGCAUGAUCAGCUUUUAAAAGGCGGCGUAAGCUGUCGCUAUGGGAUGGCCCCGCGGUGCAUUAGCUAGUUGGUAAGGUAAAGGCUUACCAAGGCGAUGAUGCAUAGCCGAGUUGAGAGACUGAUCGGCCACAUUGGGACUGAGACACGGCCCAAACUCCUACGGGAGGCAGCAGCG
Molecule: ribosomal RNA, 249 nt
Filed under: uncultured Lactobacillus sp.
Lineage: Bacteria; Bacillati; Bacillota; Bacilli; Lactobacillales; Lactobacillaceae
Description: partial 16S ribosomal RNA
Rfam family: Bacterial small subunit ribosomal RNA
Source: RNAcentral